GGAGAGAUGGCAGAGUGGUCGAAUGCGGCAGUCUUGAAAACUGUUGAAUCGCAAGGUUCCCAGGGUUCGAAUCCCUGUCUCUCCGCCA
This 88-nucleotide transfer RNA is filed under the name Candidatus Peregrinibacteria bacterium. RNAcentral describes it as "tRNA-Ser". It matches the Rfam family "tRNA". Rfam says of the family: Transfer RNA (tRNA) molecules are approximately 80 nucleotides in length. Their secondary structure includes four short double-helical elements and three loops (D, anti-codon, and T loops). Further hydrogen bonds mediate the characteristic L-shaped molecular structure. tRNAs have two regions of fundamental functional importance: the anti-codon, which is responsible for specific mRNA codon recognition, and the 3' end, to which the tRNAs corresponding amino acid is attached (by aminoacyl-tRNA synthetases). tRNAs cope with the degeneracy of the genetic code in two manners: having more than one tRNA (with a specific anti-codon) for a particular amino acid; and 'wobble' base-pairing, i.e. permitting non-standard base-pairing at the 3rd anti-codon position. The record is from RNAcentral. Lineage: Bacteria; Candidatus Peregrinibacteriota.